GGGGGCGAAAGGCUUUCGACAGGGUUGUCAAACCUUGGUCAGCGAGUAGUGGAGUUGCACCACUUUAAAAGUAACAGCUUAAAAUGAACUGACAAAACAAAAUCAGUUGCUCUUGCUGCUUAAUUAGCAGCUUGUGUCCUAUCACGGAAUGCCACGGCUGUGAAUAGGGCAUCGACUUAGUGGCGAACAUGAAUGAUUGAGCUCCUCGGCUUUCAUCAGGUAAUAGAGGAUACCGUAGGCUAAAGGCUGUUUGCCGCCGUUAGUUGAGGGGAAGCUUAAAUGACAAACUACACUCGUAGAGCCCUUGGCAAGGCGAUUUUGGACAUGGGUUCGACUCCCAUCGCCUCCACCA
RNAcentral lists this transfer-messenger RNA (352 nucleotides) under Eubacterium sp. It matches the Rfam family "transfer-messenger RNA". From Rfam's summary of the family: Bacterial tmRNA, also known as 10Sa RNA or SsrA, is named for its dual tRNA and mRNA-like properties. RNAcentral also lists the same sequence under 1 other name. The record is from RNAcentral. Lineage: Bacteria; Bacillati; Bacillota; Clostridia; Eubacteriales; Eubacteriaceae.